GACGUAGGGGGCGAGCGUUGUCCGGAUUUAUUGGGCGUAAAGCGUGCGUAGGCGGCUGCGCAAGUCGGUUGUGAAACCCCGGGGCUCAACCCCGGAACUGCAUCCGAUACUGCGUGGCUAGAGGUAGGUAGGGGAGAUCGGAAUUCCUGGUGUAGCGGUGAAAUGCGCAGAUAUCAGGAGGAACACCGGUGGCGAAGGCGGAUCUCUGGGCCUUACCGGACGCUCAGGCACGAAAGCUAGGGGAGCGAACAGG
Molecule: ribosomal RNA, 253 nt
Filed under: uncultured bacterium
Lineage: Bacteria
Description: partial 16S ribosomal RNA
Rfam family: Bacterial small subunit ribosomal RNA
Source: RNAcentral